Wyeomyia smithii (pitcher-plant mosquito) is the source of this 1353-nucleotide long non-coding RNA. RefSeq lists it as uncharacterized. The record is from RefSeq and is a predicted model, not a curated record. The transcript has 4 exons. Lineage: Eukaryota; Metazoa; Arthropoda; Insecta; Diptera; Culicidae.
GAAGCAGUUCAUUCAUUGGUGCCGUGCAAUCAUUCAUUUGGUGCCGUCGACAGCGAGGUGUGUUUUAUUUGCAUUAUUUUAUUUUUGUGGUAGUUUGUUUGGUUGGUGGUGACAUUUGUUAAAUAACAUAAAAAAGAAAGAAAUAAGAAUAAACCGAAAAUAUAAAAUUAGUGCAAACUUGUGGUAUUUCACGAAGACUAUGAUAAAAAUAGAUGUGCGUGUGAGUUUUUUUUUAAUAACGAGUACUUAAUUAGCUAAAUCGUCUACCAGCGAGCAGAGCAAUAUUUGAUAGUGUUAAUGGGAGCAACACGACGCCGCACAUAAAAGUGAUCCCUAAUCUAAAUGUGAUUCAGAUAGCGUAAAAUUACUCGUCAAGAUGUUUUUAUAUUUUGUUCAAGGUGACGAAUGGCAGAGAAGUAGAAAACUCGGCGGAAAAUGGUUUACUGUUUGAUGUGGGUUUCUGACAGGCUGUUACAUCAUGUUUGUCUCGAGAGGCAGAACACGAUGUGAAGCGAUAUAAUUAUUAUAUAAUAAGCGUGAAAUCGUUUUGACAGCAGUAAUCUAGUGACCACAGAAUGAACAAGGACAGUUUAGCUCUCCGCGAGAAUGAACUCAUCGAGGGCAAAGAUGGCGACUUCGAACAAAGGCCCGAAGCGCACCUGAAAAUCACCAAUUAAAGCGAUUAGCGACAACAAAGUGGCACCCGAACGGGUCAUGCAAAUUAAACGUAAUCCGUAGCAUCGUAAACAAUCCCCGCAGCACCAGUAGCUGCGGCCGAUCUGCAUACCGACCCGACCGACCGUGACGACAUCGGUGAAUGCUGCUGAUGCGGUGAUGCUGAACAAGCGAUGCAGACACCCGGCUCCCCCUUCCCCCGAAAACUGUAUCUCGUGGCCGGUGGAAAAUUAACAAAGACCUAGCUGGAGGUGGCGGCCUUGCGGCAGCAACGGAACAACUUAUGAACCCACUCAGACUCAUGUGGUGAGGUGAUGCUGUGUUUAUUAAUCCCAGUUCCGCCACUGUUGUGGCCAAUAACCGACGCCCAGGGAGGCGACUCCACACCCAGGACCCUAACUCACGACCCGUUUAUCAACGGACCGGCGCCAACGGCUUUACUUCCUCAUGCGAUGGAAGGCGUGAUCCCAGAGAUUUUUCGCCCCAGAAAAUCUCCCGGUGUCGGCUAGGAUUGAAUCUAGACCAUUUGUGUUGGUUGUGAGUGGAUCACGCCACCUCACAACCGUCGACACCUAUGUCGGCGGUGGGAUUCGAACCCAGGCGUCGAGCGUGGUUAGCGGAGACGUUACCAACCACACUAGGCCCCCGCUGAAUCAUUUACUUAUGAUGAAUAUAAAA